GCUGCUUUGGAGGAGGAAAACCCAAGCUGCCUGCUCUUGCCAGAGUUUAAGGAGGUUGUAGUGCAUGGAAGGAGACCUGCCACAGGGGCUGUGAACAUGUGUUGGGGAGCAGAGAAUCUAAUUUUACACAUGAUGGGACUGCAGGACCAGGACAAACAAUAGGAGAAAUAAAAUGAGAAAGGACCAACGAUAAAGCACAUUAGAUACAUGAAUACCAUAAAUAAGAAUUACCCGAUUUACAAUGAAUUACCAAUAGGAGAGGAAAAUGAAAGGCAAACCGAAAGGGAAAAGAACCAAAAAGGACAGAAGCAGGAAUGUGAAAUCUCAGUAAUUGGAAAUCGGCCAA
This is a long non-coding RNA of Notechis scutatus (mainland tiger snake), 346 nucleotides long. RefSeq lists it as uncharacterized. NCBI's taxonomy places the organism in Eukaryota, Metazoa, Chordata, Lepidosauria, Squamata, Elapidae. The record is from RefSeq and is a predicted model, not a curated record.